GGACCGCCAGAGGGCCUCCUUGAGGAAGCUCUCCGCCAGGAGGGGGUCCCAGGGCCCGGGGGGUAACCCGGCGGGGCCCGCGGGGGAGCCCGCGUACGACGCCCGCGCCCACGGCUUCCUGAGCUUUGGCGAGCAGGCCACCAGCUCCACCUCCUCCUCCUCCCCCUCCUUCCUGCUGAGCGGCGAGACCUCCCUGAGCUCCGUCUCCGGGACGGGGGAGGACCUCCUGGAGAGGAGCUGGGGGGACCUGGACAAAGACCUGGGGCUGAUCCGCAUGUGGUACCGGCUGGAUGAGAACCGCCUGCCCCCGCUGUACCGCCUGCUCCCCAUCAGCACCCACCACCCAGACAUCCUGAGCCAGGACGGGCAGCGCAGGCGGCAGGCGGUGAAGGACUGGGCCGCCACCCGCCAGCGGCUUUGGUGGGUGCUGCAGCGGGGGGGAACAGUUGCCCUGGGCGAGGAGGGGGCCGCAGCACUGCUCAAGACGGUCCUGGACUGGGAGACGGAGGAGGGUCUGCGUUCCCUCGGAGACGGCUGCCCGCCGGAGCAGCACUGCCACUGCUACAAGAGGCUGAUCCCAGACCUGUACUACAACCUGAAGAACGAGCACGCCGCGCCCUACGUGGACCUGAUGAAGGGACGGCCGCAGGUCAACACGGCGCUGGCCGCAGCACAUCAGAGGUUCAUGGGCCGGGUUUAUGAUGAUCUGCGCCACACCAACAUCUACGAGAGGGACGUGGGCUGGGGUCGCAGGGGUCUGGACCCCGAACACAACCGGUCCCACCAGUUCUACACCGAGCGCAUCUGCGCCCACUUCAAACGGACGGCCCUCAGCUCCCUCAACAAAGCCAUGGUGGUGAGCCAGGCCCGGGAGCCCUUUGACGUGGUCAGGAGGAAAGAGGUGAAGCGCCGGCUGUGGGAAGAGGUCCAGUACCACAGAGACCACCGGGACGCCCUGGCCAGGAAGUGCCUGUUGAGGCAGGACUUCCUGUCUGAGGUACAGAGGGCCGCCGCAGAGACCCCGGGGCGAGGGCCCCUGCUACUGCUGGGGGCUCCUGGUUCGGGGAAGAGCUGCGUCCUGGCCAGGGCCUCACAGCUACUCUGCACUCGUCUACCUGGAGCCGUGGAGGUCGUGUGUUUCAUCGGCCUCACCGGCGAGAGCAGGAACAUCCGCCUGGUCCUGCAGAGUCUGUGUCUCCAGCUGGCCCAGGCCUACGCUGCCCCUCGCGGCCAGCUCUCUACGGGUCUCCCCCAGCUGAGGGCCGAGUUCCUCUCCCUGCUGGGCCGAGGGUCCGCUGCCAGGCCCCCGGUGCUGCUGCUGGACGGGCUGGACGAGCUGUCGGAGGAGGAGGAGGAGCGCGCUGCGGACCUGUCCUGGCUGGAAGGGCCCCUGCCCCCCCACCCCCCUCCUCCUGUCGGCCG
This is a long non-coding RNA of Gadus morhua (Atlantic cod), 1422 nucleotides long. Lineage: Eukaryota; Metazoa; Chordata; Actinopteri; Gadiformes; Gadidae. The record is from Ensembl.